This 492-nucleotide ribosomal RNA is filed under the name uncultured bacterium. RNAcentral's name for it is "partial 16S ribosomal RNA". It matches the Rfam family "Bacterial small subunit ribosomal RNA", at positions 29 to 507 of the family's 1533-position model. The record is from RNAcentral.
AGUGAACGCUGGCGGUAGGCCUAACACAUGCAAGUCGAACGGCAGCACAGUAAGAGCUUGCUCUUACGGGUGGCGAGUGGCGGACGGGCGAGGAAUACAUCGGAAUCUACUUUUUCGUGGGGGAUAACGUAGGGAAACUUACGCUAAUACCGCAUACGACCUACGGGUGAAAGCAGGGGAUCUUCGGACCUUGCGCGAUUGAAUGAGCCGAUGUCGGAUUAGCUAGUUGGCGGGGUAAAGGCCCACCAAGGCGACGAUCCGUAGCUGGUCUGAGAGGAUGAUCAGCCACACUGGAACUGAGACACGGUCCAGACUCCUACGGGAGGCAGCAGUGGGGAAUAUUGGACAAUGGGCGCAAGCCUGAUCCAGCCAUACCGCGUGGGUGCAGAAGGCCUUCGGGUUGUAAAGCCCUUUUGUUGGGAAAGAAAAGCAGCAGGUUAAUACCCCGCUGUUCUGACGGUACCCAAAGAAUAAGCACCGGCUAACUUCGUG